UACGUAGGUGGCAAGCGUUGUCCGGAUUUACUGGGCGUAAAGGGAGCGUAGGCGGACUUUUAAGUGAGAUGUGAAAUACCCGGGCUCAACCUGGGUGCUGCAUUUCAAACUGGAAGUCUAGAGUGCAGGAGAGGAGAAUGGAAUUCCUAGUGUAGCGGUGAAAUGCGUAGAGAUUAGGAAGAACACCAGUGGCGAAGGCGAUUCUCUGGACUGUAACUGACGCUGAGGCUCGAAAGCGUGGGGAGCAAACACG
Molecule: ribosomal RNA, 253 nt
Filed under: uncultured bacterium
Lineage: Bacteria
Description: partial 16S ribosomal RNA
Rfam family: Bacterial small subunit ribosomal RNA
Source: RNAcentral